This 330-nucleotide ribosomal RNA is filed under the name uncultured eukaryote. RNAcentral describes it as "partial 18S ribosomal RNA". It matches the Rfam family "Eukaryotic small subunit ribosomal RNA", at positions 1470 to 1796 of the family's 1831-position model. The record is from RNAcentral.
CCCUUAGAUGUUCUGGGCCGCACGCGCGCUACACUGAUGAAUUCAACGAGCUCCUAACCUAGGCCGAAGGGUCCGGGUAAUCUUUGAAAUUUCAUCGUGAUGGGGAUAGAUUAUUGCAAUUAUUAAUCUUCAACGAGGAAUUCCUAGUAAGCGCGAGUCAUCAGCUCGCGUUGAUUACGUCCCUGCCCUUUGUUCACACCGCCCGUCGCUCCUACCGAUUGAAUGGUCCGGUGAAAUGUUCGGACCGCGACAAGGCGGACGGUUCGCUGUCAGCUUUGCUGCGGGAAGUUCAUUAAACCUUAUCAUUUAGAGGAAGGAGAAGUCGUAACA